Manis javanica (Malayan pangolin) is the source of this 3317-nucleotide non-coding RNA. Lineage: Eukaryota; Metazoa; Chordata; Mammalia; Pholidota; Manidae. The record is from RefSeq and is a predicted model, not a curated record.
UAAAAGCAAAAAAGUUUGUGGCCUGUCUCUCAGGAGUUAGCCAGAGGGAGGGCCGCGCUCUGUAUUAUUGCGGGAGGAAGAGGCCAGAUUAGGGCUUCAAGCCUCAGCUGGGGCGUGAUGGCAGGACAAAGGGUUGUGAACCCACCUGGGGAUGAGGCCUGGUCUUGUGGAAACUGAACUUAGCUUCGUGGGGCUGACAGCCCUGGCCCAGGGUGGUAUGUAAUUUUGGCUCGCCUGGGACCGGGUCCAGGCCAGGCCCAGCACGGUGGAUCCCAGGUGUGUGCGGGGCCAGACCCCUGGUCAGAGGAGAGGGUGGUCUCUGGAAUGAAUCAGUAGGUAAGGUGCCACCCUAAGCGCUUACUGCUGUGGCACGUAGUGUGUCUUGGCAGGGGGGCUGCCGAGGCAGGAUGUGUGCCUGCGGAGGAAAUUGACCCACCCUUUAUUUUCCAGGUGGCAGUGCUUCCCUUUGGACUUUUCCUCUAGGUUCCGUGCUAACUUCUGUGACCUCACUCUGCCCCCCCUACCUUUACCUCUCAAGGUUAACCGUUCACUUAAAACAUUGCUUCUGGUAAUCCGGUAAGCUUGGGAAAAUUGCUCCGUCCCUGUUGGAGCCGGUAUUCCUGGUAAUGGAGGAGGAUAGGCACUCCCCACUGAGACGCGGGUGGGGCGGGUUGGUUUGCCUGCCUGUGGAGGUGGGAUUGAACGGGCACGCGCGGGUGGGCCCGCAGCGAUGGCACCAGCCGUAUUACUGAAAUGCUUCGUGGACCGCGGUUUGUUACUGUAGCGUUCAUCAUGGCGAUCAGAUGGCACCAGGAGAAAUGGAGCGCUUGGCCAGUGAGUCGUAGCAGUGCAGGAGGGGAGACCCUGAAGGAGAGAGGCCGCCUAAAUUGAUGUCUGCAGAUUGAAUUUCCAGAGGCUUAGGAGGUGGAAAUUCUCCAAUGUCAUGUUUCCAGGCCGUGCUCAGGAAGCCCUGUAUUCAGGAGGCCACCACCUAAGGUUUUCAGAUGAGCUUAUGAGAGGGCAGUCUCUAAAAAAAGUCCAGAGCAGCUGCAUCCUGGGCCUUCAGCAGGUGUGCUGCUUUGAAUGCUACGUGAGCGCCAACCUCCAGGCACCCCUCCUUUUCUAGGAUGGAGGUUUUCAGAUGCUGCAUCUUCUAUAUUGAGCCUCCUGUCAUAUUAGUUCUGUGCUACGAACCUUGCUUCGAGAAGAUUCUUAAGCUGUAGAACAUUUUAACGUUGGUGCCGCAACGCAGAGUGAUGCCUUCUAGAUGGAGCUUGCAGAUGGAGCCCAGUGACCCACUCACCUGCCCGCCUGCCUGCCUGUGUAUUGGCCAGAGGAAUUAUUAGUGUGAUGCUGUAACCUGUGUGUUGGAAAAGUGUUCCAGCUUGAAAUGCCUUCAGCAAAUAUUUAGACGAGCAGACUGGCAAAUUAGUUGGGUGUUGGGGGGUCAUUGUGUUCUGUGGUCUGGGAGGGUACAGGUUGGUCAUGCCCAGAUUCUUUUAGAAAUGGCAAGCCUAGUUUGGGCAUUCCUAUUGCGUUGCAGAACGGUGGGGGUACUGGUUAAUCUGUGAUUCAUUUUUUACUUUUUUUUUAAGUUGAAAUUUGAAAGCAAUCUUGGUGUUAAUGGGAGGAGCCUGGGGUGAGGGCACUGGCAUGGGGUGGGGAGAAAGAUGGAGACCAGGGAGAGGGUUGGUUGGGUUGGGUGUAUGUUGCAGAGAGUGGGGGGACCUGAGCAAGUGAGAAUUCUGAGCAAAGUGAAAAUGCAAUGAUUUCUAAAGGAAUUUUGUAUGUUACUUCAUGCCACGCCACUGUGGUCAUUAACAGCAAAAGCUCUUCCUCUUUUCAGAGUCUUUGUAACAAGAAUGGAAUGACCUUUUUGUGGUCACUAUAAAAUUAGUAUCUGGUAGCAAACAAUCCAUGUACCCUUGCUUAAGGUUGGAGUUAAUAAUAUGUUACAUCUUUAGUUUUAAUGUUUGUGCUUUUAAUGACCCAGUACUAGGGGGUAACCCCACCAAAAUCAGUUUGUGGGUUUGAAGGGAAUUCUUUGUGAAAAAGACCAGUAGUAGAGCUCUGGGGAAUGUUGUAGACUCAUGGGUGAAGAAAAUUACUAGUUAGUACCUAGUGAUACUGUAACGCUGGUUAAGUUGUCAUUGGAAGCACAAAAGCUGCUUGGAAACUUUCUAAUGGUGCUUAGAACUCUAAAGUGAAGGGAACAAAGCAAAAUUGUUUUGCUUUGUUGCAAGGUGGGGAAACUGAAAAGGUAUUAAAUGAAAACCUGAGUAUCAGUCACUUGAAAGUUGGCUGUCAGAAACUUCCAUCAGCAGAUAACAUCCUUCGCUGCUUUGCAAGCUUCUUAGAUGGUUCAUCUGAAGCUGUGAAGGCAUGCAAUAUUCAGGAGCAGUGAGUCUUAGAAGACUAAAUGCCCAAAUUGUGGGCUUUUAUUAAAAGUAUGUAAGAUGAGAUGGUGUGUACUUGAGAUGUACUCUUAAUAGGUUUGGAACAUUUGUUUGCAGAGAUUUUGUGACUGAGAAUUCUGAGCAAAGUGAAAAUGCAAUGAUUUCUAAAGGAAUUUUGUAUGUUACUUCCUGCCACGCCACUGUGGUCAUUAACAGCAAAAGCUCUUACUUCUUUUCAGAGUCUUUGUAACAAGAAUGGAAUGACCUUUUUGUGGUCACUAUAAAAUUAAUAUCUGGUAGCAAACAAUCCAUGUACCCUUGCUUAAGGUUGGAGUUAAUAAUAUGUUACAUCUUUAGUUUUAAUGUUUGUGCUUUUAAUGACCCAGUACUAGGGGGUAACCCCACCAAAAUCAGUUUCAGGAAUGAGCAAAAGGGGUGACUGGUUGGGAGGGAACUUUACCACAUGUGGUCUGUUUGUAAAAAUUCGGAGAAAAUUAUCCUUUAUGACCCUACUUGUGCAUCUGUUGAAUUGCUAGAUAAAGUAAUACCAAUGGCUUUUUUACAUGCUGCUCCCCUUACAUUUCAUUUAAAAAUUUUAAAUCCCUAAUACUCCCUGCUCUUACGGUUUUUCCGGAUUCUUUUUUCAUGUUUAAAAAUGUUGGCAUGACAGUUCAGUUAAUGACCAGUUGCAUGUGGAAUAGUUACUGUCAUUAAUUUAAAGAGCAUCAGUCUUACCUAUGCGGGGAAAUACGUUCUGGGUGUGUUGUUUGAGACAUUGCAACUGUAAAAGGAGGUAAAGUGCUUGUAUGUUGCUCUGUAUGGUAAAUAAUCUUGUUAAGUCAUGUACCUGAUUACUAAUCAGUUUUUCUUCCCCUUUACAGUACAAAUAAAGGUUUGAGUUCUAAACUCAUUGGAAUUGUA